CCUACGGGCGGCAGCAGUGAGGAAUAUUGGUCAAUGGUCGGGAGACUGAACCAGCCAAGCCGCGUGAGGGAGGAAGGUACAGAGUAUCGUAAACCUCUUUUGUCAGGGAACAAAGACUGGGACGCGUCCCCGGAUGAGUGUACCUGAAGAAAAAGCAUCGGCUAACUCCGUGCCAGCAGCCGCGGUAAUACGGAGGAUGCGAGGGUUAUCCGGUUUUAUGGGGUUAAAGGGGUGCGCAGGCGGUCUGUUAAGUCAGGGGUCAAAGCCCGGGGCUCAACCCCGGCCCGCCGUUGAAACUGGCAGUCUCGAGUUGGAGAGAAGUAUGCGGAAUGCGCGGUGUAGCGGUGAAAUGCAUAGAUAUCGCGCAGAACUCCGAUUGCGAAGGCAGCAUGCCGGCUCCACACUGACGCUGAGGCACGAAAGCGUGGGUAUCGAACAGGAUUAGAUACCCGAGUAGUC
Molecule: ribosomal RNA, 459 nt
Filed under: uncultured bacterium
Lineage: Bacteria
Description: partial 16S ribosomal RNA
Rfam family: Bacterial small subunit ribosomal RNA
Source: RNAcentral